GAUCCUGGCUCAGGAUGAACGCUAGCUACAGGCUUAACACAUGCAAGCCGGAGGGGCAGCAUCAUCAAAGCUUGCUUUGAUGGAUGGCGACCGGCGCACGGGUGAGUAACACGUAUCCAACCUGCCGACAACUCUGGGAUAGCCUUUCGAAAGAAAGAUUAAUACCGGAUGGCAUAGUUUUCCCGCAUGGGAUGACUAUUAAAGAAUUUCGGUUGUCGAUGGGGAUGCGUUCCA
Molecule: ribosomal RNA, 234 nt
Filed under: uncultured bacterium
Lineage: Bacteria
Description: partial 16S ribosomal RNA
Rfam family: Bacterial small subunit ribosomal RNA
Source: RNAcentral